UCUGUGUGUAACUCUCCAGCAUCUGAGCAGGUUGUGAAAACUGGGAAUCUGACCUGAAUCUUCUUGGAUUCUUCUCACUUAGGCCUUACCAGGGAUCACUAUGGGAAAUAGUCACAGGACAGGUUGGUUUCCCUGUUCUCCAGAACACAAAUGUCCUGAUGGAAUUGGCCAUUGCUAUGGGAUCUGAUUCAGAUUCACCUGGUUUGGAAGAAAGACCAAACCUGUCCUGAACAGGGUGAGGCAGGAGAAGAAGGCCUGGAAAGGGAGAGCACAGCCCUGAGCAUGGAGCAGACCAAAGUCUUUAUACAGUGCCAACAGUUUGUCAACGUUGAGUCCCGCCGCUUUGUUCUACACUGAGUUCCUUCCAACGUGAAGGGCGCUUACCUCAGCCGGAUAAUCAUCCAUCAGGGCUGUUCACAGAGAUACCCUCUGUUUGCGGAGAGGCUGAACUAGAUGACUUGGCUGAGUGUCAGAAGGCCUCAGGAGCAUACAGGUUACCAGACCAGACCUUUCUGUCAGAGUCCACCAGAGUAUGCAUGCUCAGCUGUAAGGACACAGAAAUCAAAUCAAAGGCCUGCGGUUCUUCCCAAGGCAUGAUAGCUGUGGUUUGACGUUAACCUGGGUCUCAUCUCCAGCCUGCUUUUUAGUGCUCUAGACAAUGUUGCUGGAUUCAUUUGCUUGGCUGCCUCAAACCAAAGAAACCACUUCAUGAAAGCAAGAGAGUAAACCUGACAUCUCCAAUCUGCUCGGUUCCCUUUCAUGUGGUGUCUGCUUGAAUAGAGCUGAAAUUAAAGUGUGCUAAUGUGAGAAAUUGCCAGCUUGGACCUAAUACAUGAUGUGCACAUACAACUCAAUCCUGUGGAUUCUGAACACUUUGUGACAGUGUUUUAGAACUCAAUG
Molecule: long non-coding RNA, 900 nt
Organism: Meriones unguiculatus (Mongolian gerbil)
Lineage: Eukaryota; Metazoa; Chordata; Mammalia; Rodentia; Muridae
Exons: 3
Source: RefSeq, a predicted model, not a curated record